RNAcentral lists this long non-coding RNA (386 nucleotides) under Phoenix dactylifera (date palm). Its description in RNAcentral is "long non-coding RNA (PDAC_LNC007482)". Lineage: Eukaryota; Viridiplantae; Streptophyta; Magnoliopsida; Arecales; Arecaceae. The record is from RNAcentral.
GAUGCUCGAUUGAGGUACUUUUUAGAAUCAAGUAACAUUUAAGCUCUACGACAUGGUGCUGCCAUUUAAGAGAGUGGUACAAUCCAGUGAUCAAUAUCAAAUUUUAUCUUCUAGGCUAUGAAACAGACUCAUUAAAAUUAAAAAAAAAGAAAAUUGAAAAAAUUUUAAUCGGGCAUAUCUCUAAAUCUAGCAAGAAUUAAGUAGGGUGGCUAAAAGCAAAGACUAUAUGAGUAUCAAGAUUCAUCUUCAAUAAGAUUUUAGUUUUUUUAUAAUUAGUUAUACUGAUUUUGAAAAAUAUUAUGUCCUCUUUUAGCUAAAAGAAAAAUUGAUCCGAAUUAUCAAUUAUGGGAGUGCAAAUCUCACUUAUAGAUUGUAUCUCCGUUUAU